UAGGGGCCAGGGGGGUCUGGUUUUAUAGUCCCUUCAAGUGAAUCUGGGCCGUCGGAUCAAACCGACAUUGAUUGAACGGUUAUUGUUGAUCCUUUGGGUCGGUAGAGCAAUAUCCCGAAAGAAAGUCCUGAUUGGACUCUGGCUGAGAGCGGGCGCCCAGGAAAGGAGGGCGGGCGCCCUGUCCCUGUGUCCUCUUGGCCUCCGCUUCGGUCCCGUGGCUUCUGGAGUCUUCUAGAUGAUAGAAAAUUGCGCGGCACGUUAAUAUCUCUAUGUAAACCCGACGUGUGGGCCUUUCUUUCGUAUUUCCUGAUAACCCCCUGCAGAAAUAGACAAACACCAAAACUCGUGGAAUUCUGUCAGAUAAAACCCUAAGUCUAGGUGUUGGUUGCAUUUGGAUCCUUUUCCAUGAUUAGUUGAUGGUUAAAUAUGAGCAUUAAGGACCAUCAACAAGCUCCCCCAAGCUUAACCUUUGCUCGUCCCUGAGCAAAGAUGAACUCAAGAGUUUCUACAGUGGUUUCAUAACUUAAAGAUACACAUGCGUUUAAACAAGAUCUCAUUUCUGGUUAGAGUAAACUGUUAAGACUUAAAACUUACUCAUUUACCUUUCACCAUGGGACUUGUAAACGUCACUUUUGUCUUGAGUAGUUAAAAGAUAGAACGGUCUAAUGAAGCGCCAUGUCUCAUGUUCUUGAUCAACUAUAGCUCUGGAGUUUUUGCAGAUUUUCAAAUAAAACUCAGAGAUUCCUUGUAUGACUCUCUCUAGUCUCUCUUUUGUGGUAUUUCUGGAUCCUUACCAAGGCAGUAAUGGUGUAUGCCUUCUCUCAAAGUAUGUGGUAUUUGUGGUAUAAGGCAUAGUGACAUUGCCUUCUCUCUCACCCUACUCUAAUAAGGCUUUUGAUAUCUGGAGCUCAUAGGUGGGAGACAGCUAAUACAUACUUACAAGACAUUUAUUGCAUAGUCAAACCAUGGAUCCAAAAGAACAAGUCAAUAAGUCAAAUCAAGAUGUGCAUGUGUGGCGAAUGAAUGGUGUAUGGUGAUGAUGGUGAUAAUGGUGAAAGUCUAAUUCUACUUGUGCUCUUUUGAGGGGAUACAUACCUUUCUUGCUCUUUUGAAACUUUUUGAGGAGAAUGAGAUGCUCUAUAUUUUCUUUUUCUUUCCUCUCAGGUGGGUAUCUUGUACCCCUAAUUCUACUGUCGGACACUUGUCCAUUUUUACCUCUCGUCUCACUUUUUCUUUUCUUUCGAGGUUCCGGGCACUUGCCCCUUUUUAUUUCCUCGCAUCUUCUCUUUUUUUUUCUUUUUUUUUCUUUUUUUUAGAGCACUCAUCUCAUGAGAUAAUAUAGCAAGUGGUAGUAACAAGAUAACUUGAGCAUUUAUUUCAUAGGGGAAAACAGAAAUGUUUUUGGCUAUUCUCUCCCGGAUUAGGAGUAGAAUAUUUUUGGGUGAAUCUGGAGAUGGAAUGGAUGGAUAUAUGUGGAUGGUACUUCCGGAGUAGAAGUAGCAUAUAUGAGUGAACGUGCAAGUGAAAUCUUGAUUUAACCACAUGACAAGUCCCUAAGGAUCUACACAGCUUGACCACACUCAAUGCUCAUAAGCAGUAAAGUAAAUGUGUGGCUCAAAGUUUAGCAAGCAUGUAUAUAUGGCUGUGGUAGGAAUUUAAACUCUCAUCAUACAGGAACUCAUCAUGCAACAUUUUAAAGAUUUUCAAAGAUAAAAUUCUCCAAAAUUCUAGCAUCUCUAGGAACAGAUAAACAGCAGCUCAACCUUCCCAUAUCAUAUCCGUUAACGACUUAGACUUUAGAUCAAGUACUCUUCCCACAAGUUCAGGUUUAGAGCAAAUCUUAAUUAAUAACAGUCAUGCCUAAACUUGAGAGUGAUUUCAAUUUUGAGAACUAGUCAUGGCAGAGCAACUAUUCAUCAUUUCCAUGUGAGAGGUUAUCAUGAAGGUUCAUAGCGAUCUUUAUUUAUUUAGCAAACUAAGCAAAGAUAUAUAUAAGCACAAAAUUUUUAUUUGGGUUUUCAUGAUUAUGCAUCUUUUUAUUAUUUGAGUAAAGUAUAAAUGCGAGUAGAAACACUUAGCUAGAUAAAUGGGGGUGCUCUCCCCCAAGGUAGAUUUUGAUGUAAUUUCUUCUGAUGUAGCUAGCAGGUGGCGGAGAUGUAUUUGAAUGUCGGCAGCACCCUGACAGUGAGUAGGAUGUCCUCCGUCUGCUAGUCUUCUUUGAUCCUCGAAUUCUGUGGAGUUCAAAUAGACAACAAAGCUUUGUGGAACUGGUUAAGGGUUAGCGUAAAUAUCUAGCCUUUAUCAUGUUGAGCCUCCUCAAUAAAUGUUACUCUCUUUAGUAGGAUCACAAUCUUAUUUAUAUUUUCAUUUUUAUAGGACAGGAAUAUAUAUUUAUUUUUAUGCCACCACAGUCAAUGUACUUAUGGGUUUUAUGCCAUGAGCAUACUCACAUUGGGCUUACUAUUUUUAACAUUUUUAUUUUCUUUUCAAGAUAGCAUGAACCUGAUUAACUAAGCAAACUAUUUUAAAUAAUUGAAAGGAAAAAGAUAACUACCAAGUUUACCUCUUGGCAAGGCGUUCGGUGUUUUUAAGUCCUCCGAACGGGACUCUCCGUUUUCUUAGUCGUCCUGGGAUUCGCUGGAUGGCGUAGUCGGUGGUUCCGGUGGCGCUUCCUCUUCAUGUAUAACUAUCUUCUCUCUCCACACCUGACUCGGUGCUACGGUCUCCUCAGGACAGUUCUGUUCAAGUUGUAUAUCUUCAGACUUUACAACUUCUCCUUCAUAGUCUACCCAUCCGUCCUUGAUGAUUUUGCCUUCUCUGGUUACGGUUGCGUCGUCUUCUUCUUGUCCUGACCUGCUUGAAGUCUUCAACUAUAUAGUUAGGGUGAGUAAAAUAGCGGCAUACCUUCUCAGAGGGGAAGUUCAUGUCGACUUCUAUGGUUCCAAUGUAGAUGAUUGCUUUAAGGGUGCUGAGGAACGGUCUUCCAAGGAUGAUGGGUGGAUCGUACUUGUCUUCUCCCAUGUCAAUAACCUUAAAAUCAUCUCGAGCUAAAUGUAUGUCGGUUUUAGUGGCAUGGCUCCGAUCAGGAGUUGAUAGGUGACUGCGGCCAUUACGUUGACGUCUGACCCGGUGUCGCAAAACGUAUUAUGGAAGUUGUAUCCAUUAAUAGAGCACUAGAUGCUUGGCACACCAGGGUCGUCCUCCUUGAUCAAGAAAGGCGACUUGAGUCGACGAUCUUGACCUCCUUGAACUGCAGUGACCAUCUUAGCUGACUUGGUCCACAUUUGUUUGUUCUUAUUCCUCCUGUUGGUCCUCUUCCUUGGUUUAUGUCGGGAUUGCUCUGGGAUUUGUGUAGUCUUGUUCUUGAAGGAAAACGUCUCCUUCCUCCCUUUGAUGUAGAAACUGAUCUUGGCAGUACUAGCGUAGAUGAUAGCUCCCGAGGUGUUCAGGAAUGGCCUCCCUAGGAUGAUGGGUGCCCUCUCAUCAGUAUCAGUCUCUAUCACCACGAAGUCUGCUGGAGCAUAUAAGGUACCAACUCGGACGUAGAGGUUCUACAAUAUUACUUUUGGGAAACUUAGUGUCCGAUCUGCAAGCUGCAAAUACAGGGUUGUUUCUCGUAAAGGAUGUGUAAAGAAUUUUUCAUAGAGUACCCUGGGCAUAAUGUUGACGCUGGAGCCAAAGUCGCAGAGUGCUUCUGGGAAGUCCACCAUGCCGAUGGAGAUCGGGAUGACGGUGCGUCUUGGAUCGCCUCUUGACCAGCAGAAGUUCAGAAAUUACUUCCACCAUGGUGUUACUCCAGUAGUUACGUCCUCAAGCAUCUCAGGGCAGUGAUUGCCUGAGUGUCCAGUAUCUCCAGUGUGUUUGUGCUCGUAGAUCUAGGUUCUUCACUUGGUAGAGUCUAGGAGUUGUAAAACUCCUUCAUAUUUUGCUCGAAGUGUACCUGCUCAUAAAGACAAGGCAGAGAUCAAGUGCAUGGGCCCUGUUGGUGGAAAACACCAACAGAACCAAUAGUGUAUUUGUUCUACUCUAACCUUAAGCAUAGUGAGCAAGACAAAGUUGAUGGAUAAUAGGAUCAUGAGUGUAGCAUUUAAAAUAUUUGUCAG
Molecule: long non-coding RNA, 4103 nt
Filed under: Sorghum bicolor (sorghum)
Lineage: Eukaryota; Viridiplantae; Streptophyta; Magnoliopsida; Poales; Poaceae
Description: long non-coding RNA (SBIC_LNC017664)
Source: RNAcentral